RNAcentral lists this ribosomal RNA (503 nucleotides) under uncultured bacterium. RNAcentral describes it as "partial 16S ribosomal RNA". It matches the Rfam family "Bacterial small subunit ribosomal RNA", at positions 30 to 523 of the family's 1533-position model. The record is from RNAcentral.
AUUGAACGCUGGCGGCAGGCUUAACACAUGCAAGUCGAGCGGGGUGAUGGUGCUUGCACUAUCACUUAGCGGCGGACGGGUGAGUAAUGCUUAGGAAUCUGCCUAUUAGUGGGGGACAACAUCUCGAAAGGGAUGCUAAUACCGCAUACGUCCUACGGGAGAAAGCAGGGGAUCACUUGUGACCUUGCGCUAAUAGAUGAGCCUAAGUCGGAUUAGCUAGUUGGUGGGGUAAAGGCCUACCAAGGCGACGAUCUGUAGCGGGUCUGAGAGGAUGAUCCGCCACACUGGGACUGAGACACGGCCCAGACUCCUACGGGAGGCAGAAGUGGGGAAUAUUGGACGAUGGGGGGAACCCUGAUCCAGCCAUGCCGCGUGUGUGAAGAAGGCCUUAUGGUUGUAAAGCACUUUAAGCGAGGAGGAGGCUCUUUUGGUUAAUACCCAAGAUGAGUGGACGUUACUCGCAGAAUAAGCACCGGCUAACUCUGUGCCAGCCGCCGCAGUAA